GACGUAGGGCGCGAGCGUUGUCCGGAUUUACUGGGCGUAAAGGGCGCGCAGGCGGCCGCUCAAGUCAGGCGUGAAAGCCCCGGGCUUAACCUGGGAACUGCGUCUGGGACUGAGUGGCUAGAGUUCGGGAGAGGAGAGUGGAAUUCCCAGUGUAGAGGUGAAAUUCGUAGAUAUUGGGAAGAACACCAGUGGCGAAGGCGGCUCUCUGGACCGAGACUGGCGCUGAGGCGCGAAAGCGUGGGGAGCAAACAGG
This 253-nucleotide ribosomal RNA is filed under the name uncultured bacterium. RNAcentral's name for it is "partial 16S ribosomal RNA". It matches the Rfam family "Bacterial small subunit ribosomal RNA", at positions 524 to 776 of the family's 1533-position model. The record is from RNAcentral.